GAUCAAUAUAGUUGGGGUGCAGAUACAGGCCUUCCCCUAGGGAAACACUUGCAUCAGUAUUAGUGAGAGACCAAGUACACAUCUGAAGCAUUCCUGUGCUUUCUGUCCACUUGUCAGGUGAAGUUGCCACGUAUGGACUGUCCAUCAGCCAGGAGAUGAACCCCCCACCGUGAGGCAGUGACUCAAGGUGCAAGGGAGUCCGGCAAGAAGUGUGGCGCACCCGAGUUGCUGCCACUGCUUUUUGGAUCACCCAGCACGGUGAAGUUGCCACGUAUGACUGUCCAUCAGCCAGGAGAUGAACCCCCACCCGUGAGGCAGUGACUCAAGGUGCAAGGGAGUCCGGCAAGAAGUGUGGCGCACCCGAGUUGCUGCCACUGCUUUUUGGAUCACCCAGCACGGUGAAGUUGCCACGUAUGACUGUCCAUCAGCCAGGAGAUGAACCCCCACCCGUGAGGCAGUGACUCAGGUGCAAGGGAGUCCGGCAAGAAGUGUGGCGCACCCGAGUUGCUGCCACUGCUUUUUGGAUCACCCAGCACGGUCUUCUGAAGUCUUCCUGAAAGCAUCCCUGGUGAUCUGUGAGCCCUUGGUCGUGUUGCCCGCCUUCUUCCUGUGGGUCUUGCUGGAUGCUCAUUGUCCCUGUGAGCCGAGGCCCUGGAGGCUUCAGAUUUAGGU
Molecule: long non-coding RNA, 672 nt
Filed under: Bos indicus x Bos taurus (hybrid cattle)
Lineage: Eukaryota; Metazoa; Chordata; Mammalia; Artiodactyla; Bovidae
Description: lncRNA (ENSBIXG00000010259.1)
Source: RNAcentral